This is a small nuclear RNA of Heterocephalus glaber (naked mole-rat), 75 nucleotides long. Its record names the gene U2. It matches the Rfam family "U2 spliceosomal RNA". Rfam says of the family: U2 is a small nuclear RNA (snRNA) component of the spliceosome (involved in pre-mRNA splicing). Complementary binding between U2 snRNA (in an area lying towards the 5' end but 3' to hairpin I) and the branchpoint sequence (BPS) of the intron results the bulging out of an unpaired adenosine, on the BPS, which initiates a nucleophilic attack at the intronic 5' splice site, thus starting the first of two transesterification reactions that mediate splicing. The record is from Ensembl. Lineage: Eukaryota; Metazoa; Chordata; Mammalia; Rodentia; Bathyergidae.
AUCUUUUCUUGGCCUUUUGGCUAAGAUCAAGUGUAGUAUUUUCCUUAAAAUAUUCACUCUCCUAUUAAAUCCUUU